This 2005-nucleotide long non-coding RNA is filed under the name Equus caballus (horse). RNAcentral describes it as "lncRNA (ENSECAG00000058179.1)". The record is from RNAcentral. Lineage: Eukaryota; Metazoa; Chordata; Mammalia; Perissodactyla; Equidae.
GGGAAAGCCUGUGCUCGGAGGUUCUGCCCUUGACUGUGAGAGCGUCCCCAGCACGCUGACCAGCAUUCCCGGACUGGGGCUGCCUCAGAGGACACAUCAAUGACUCCAGCCAUUUUGCGGCCUCUCAUUUUUGGAAAGUGUUUCUUCAGUGUAAGCAGAGCCUGCUUUCUAGGCAUGUCUGAGCGCCCACCUCAUGGCCCUAUAAUCCUCACUAUCCUGGAACUUGCGGCGGGCCGGUGCACGAGGAGGAGCAGGGCAGAGAGACGCAACGGCUCCACCACCCACAACAUGUCCACGAGAAGACGCAUCUCGACACCCGUGAAUCUGGGCUCCGAGCCCCCUGGAUUGGGGAGACACAGUGUGGCUCCUGGUUAGUGGCAUUUGGCAAGGCCUCCAGUGUCAUCUUGUGUAAGAACAGCAAUAGAAGACAUCUGUGUCUUUUCCUUGACAUCAAAGGAAAUCCUGUUAAACUUCAAACAUUAAGUAAGAUGUUAUUGUAGAUUUUUGGAAGAUAUUCUUUAUCAGAUUAAAACAGGUUCCUUCUAUUUCUAGUCAGAUAAACAUUUUCUUUUCUUUUUUUUAGUUAAGAAAGAGUGUUGAAUUUUAUUGAAUAUUUUCUGCAUCUACUGAGAUGAUCAUGUGUUUUCUCUUUUAAUCUAAUAAGUGGUCACUUACACUGAUAUAUCUUCUGCUAUUGAGUGACACAUUCCUGGGAUAAACCCUAUUUGGCAAAGACAUAUGAUUGCUUUUAAACACCUCUGAAUUUGAUUUGCUUUGGUAUUUUACAUCUAUGUUCAUAAAUAACAUUGUCAUGUGAUUUUCUUCCUUUCUUCCUUCUUUCUUCUUUUUUGUCCUACGUUUUUCUAUUAUCCUAUUAUCUUUGUCCAGGUUGAAUAUCAAGCUUAAACCAGCUGUAUUCAAUGACUUAGUUAGCUUUCUCUAACUUUCUAUCCUCUCAAACAGUUUGUUUGAUUAUGGACUUAAGUACUGCUUCAAUUUAUUUAAUAAUGAUUACAAGUCCCUUAAAGUUAGCACAUUUCCUUGAGUCAAUUUUGGUAAUUAUCUAUUUAUUUAAGUUUUCAAGUUUAAUGGCAUAAAGUUGUCCAUAUACUAUUUUAUGAUUUUAAAAUUUCUACCGCAUCUGUAGUUAUGUCCCCUUUCACCAUCCAAUAUUAUUAUUUAUACAUUCUCUUUAUUUUCUCCUUAGUCUAUUAAUCUGACAGAGAGAUACUAAAAUCUCUCCCUGUAAUUUUUUUUAAAAAAACUUUUCCUUAUAAUUAUGUCAGUUUUUACUUUGUAUAUUUUGAGACUAUCUUAUUAGGCACAUACAAUUUCAUGAUAAUUAUACUGUAUUUGCGAAUUGUUCUUUCCAUUAUGCAAUAUUCCACUUUAUUUCUAUGUUAUGCCUUUUGUCUUAAAUUAUAUUUUGUCUGAUACAAAGUUAUUUUGAUUAGUAUUGCCUUGUAUAUAUGCGUAUCUUAUUUUUUAAAAUGAAUGGCAUCAUACUGUACACAUAGUUCUGCACCUAGCUUUUAUGAAAAAAAGUUACUGGGGGAAAUAACAUGCACAUAGAAAAUGCAAAAAACAUAGAUGUAAUAAUUAUAAAGCGUACACCUGUGUAACCACCACUCAGAUCAAGAAACGGAACAUGGCCAGCACUGCUCGUGUCUGCCUCUCCUUCGUCAUCCGUUCCCUCCCCCGCUGCAGAAGGAACCAGUAUCUUGACUUUUGUGAUAUUCAUUUCCUUGUUUUUCUCUACAGUUUUGCCUCCUCUGAAUGCAUCUCUAAGCAAUAAAGUUUAGCUUUGCUUGUUUUGAAACUUUAUAGUAAUGGAAUCAUAUGGUAUAUAUUCUUUUGUGUCUUGCCUUUUCUUUUUGCUCAAUAUUAUAUUUUUAAGAUUUAUACAUGAUGUUGCAUGUAACGGACUUGGCUUUUCCCACUUAUAAAUAUAUCUUGAGGAUUGUUCCAUAGCACUGUCUGUAGGAACAAUGACUUAUUCAACUAG